Molecule: ribosomal RNA, 119 nt
Filed under: Dicentrarchus labrax (European seabass)
Lineage: Eukaryota; Metazoa; Chordata; Actinopteri; Moronidae
Source: RNAcentral
GCUUACGGCCAUACCACCCUGAACGCGCCCGAUCUCGUCUGAUCUAGGAAGCUAAGCAGGGUCGGGCCUGGUUAAUACUUGGAUGGGAGACCGCCUGGGAAUACCAGGUGCUGUAAGCC